Molecule: long non-coding RNA, 406 nt
Organism: Exaiptasia diaphana
Lineage: Eukaryota; Metazoa; Cnidaria; Anthozoa; Actiniaria; Aiptasiidae
Exons: 3
Source: RefSeq, a predicted model, not a curated record
ACGUUCCCUUCGCCUUUCGUCUUUAACGUAAUCAAUUUCAUCUUCAUUGUCAAUGUCAGCAUUGCAUUCAUAUUUUUUUCCUGUUUUGUGCAUAGAUUCAACCUUUGUUCUUGGAUAACUGUCAAAAAGACGUUGGAAUCAAAACGACUCUGGUUUUUAAAACCCCAGACGUCCCACUCAAAGAUACAAGCAUUAAGAAGAUUCAACGUAGUGUGUCGUCAUUUUCGUCAUCAGACUUUUUUGCUGUCAAUAUCACCUGGUCUAGGCCAGUAUUCAACUACAGCUCUAUCACAUCGUACAAUGUUACAUAUAACAUGGAAAGGGAUCCGACAAAAUCCAACCUAACGACAAACCAGUGGUUUUUUGUCCGAGGACUUGAUUUUCGACAAUCAUUAAAUUAUCAGGU